RNAcentral lists this ribosomal RNA (799 nucleotides) under uncultured bacterium. RNAcentral describes it as "bacterial SSU rRNA". It matches the Rfam family "Bacterial small subunit ribosomal RNA", at positions 8 to 796 of the family's 1533-position model. The record is from RNAcentral.
AGAGUUUGAUCAUGGCUCAGAUUGAACGCUGGCGGCAUGCCUAACACAUGCAAGUCGAACGGCAGCACAGCAGUAGCAAUACUGUGGGUGGCGAGUGGCGGACGGGUGAGUAAUGCAUCGGGAUCUACCCAAACGUGGGGGAUAACGUAGGGAAACUUACGCUAAUACCGCAUACGUCCUACGGGAGAAAGCGGGGGACCGAAAGGCCUCGCGCGGUUGGACGAACCGAUGUGCGAUUAGCUAGUUGGUAGGGUAAUGGCCUACCAAGGCGACGAUCGCUAGCUGGUCUGAGAGGAUGAUCAGCCACACUGGAACUGAGACACGGUCCAGACUCCUACGGGAGGCAGCAGUGGGGAAUAUUGGACAAUGGGCGCAAGCCUGAUCCAGCAAUGCCGCGUGUGUGAAGAAGGCCUUCGGGUUGUAAAGCACUUUUAUCAGGAGCGAAAUACUACUGGCUAAUAACCGGUGGGGCUGACGGUACCUGAGGAAUAAGCACCGGCUAACUUCGUGCCAGCAGCCGCGGUAAUACGAAGGGUGCAAGCGUUAAUCGGAAUUACUGGGCGUAAAGCGUGCGUAGGCGGUUAUUUAAGUCUGUUGUGAAAUCCCCGGGCUCAACCUGGGAAUGGCAAUGGAUACUGGAUAGCUAGAGUGUGAUAGAGGAUGGUGGAAUUCCCGGUGUAGCGGUGAAAUGCGUAGAGAUCGGGAGGAACAUCAGUGGCGAAGGCGGCCAUCUGGAUCAACACUGACGCUGAGGCACGAAAGCGUGGGGAGCAAACAGGAUUAGAUACCCUAGUAGUCC